This 468-nucleotide ribosomal RNA is filed under the name uncultured bacterium. RNAcentral describes it as "partial 16S ribosomal RNA". It matches the Rfam family "Bacterial small subunit ribosomal RNA", at positions 28 to 507 of the family's 1533-position model. The record is from RNAcentral.
GACGAACGCUGGCGGCGUGCUUAACACAUGCAAGUCGAACGGAAAGGCCCUGCUUUUGUGGGGUGCUCGAGUGGCGAACGGGUGAGUAACACGUGAGUAACCUGCCCUUGACUUUGGGAUAACUUCAGGAAACUGGGGCUAAUACCGGAUAGGAGCUCCUGCUGCAUGGCGGGGGUCGGAAAGUUUCGGCGGUUGGGGAUGGACUCGCGGCUUACCAGCUUGUUGGUGGGGUAGUGGCUUACCAAGGCUUUGACGGGUAGCCGGCCUGAGAGGGGGACCGGCCACAUUGGGACUGAGAUACGGCCCAGACUCCUACGGUAGGCAGCAGUGGGGAAUAUUGCACAAUGGGCGGAAGCCUGAUGCAGCAACGCCGCGUGCGGGAUGACGGCCUUCGGGUUGUAAACCGCUUUCGCCUGUGACGAAGCGUGAGUGACAGUAAUGGGUAAAGAAGCACCGGCUAACUACGUG